CCCCUCUCAGGGUCACACCUGGAGAGUUUCCAGUACUCUACCAGUCUCAACUGUGGGAGGGAAACUCAAGCAGAAGCAUAUCCAUUCCAUUCCUAGCUUGGGCAGUAGCUAGCAAGUGGAAGGCAAUCUGCUACAAAU
This 138-nucleotide small nucleolar RNA is filed under the name Ornithorhynchus anatinus (platypus). The record is from RNAcentral. Lineage: Eukaryota; Metazoa; Chordata; Mammalia; Monotremata; Ornithorhynchidae.